This 234-nucleotide long non-coding RNA is filed under the name Sinocyclocheilus anshuiensis. RNAcentral's name for it is "lncRNA (ENSSANG00000030767.1)". Lineage: Eukaryota; Metazoa; Chordata; Actinopteri; Cypriniformes; Cyprinidae. The record is from RNAcentral.
GUAAGCUCAGCGAUCAGCAUGGCUACUGAAGUGGGCCAAGACACACUCAUAGAGGCUUUGAAAGAACUUGACGGAUUUGGUACAAAAUCUUUAGAAAAUGUAGGAAAGGACGUCGCCAAAGGUGGUUCUUUGCAAGAAAUUGUCGAUAAGAAAAUGCGUCCUUUAUUUGGUCUGAUGUCAGCUGGUGCCAAGUUCUUUAACAGUCUGGGUGUGAAAAACCAAAAGGAAGCAUAA